GAGGGUAGAGCUCCGUGGUAGAGCGUGUGCCCAGCAAGCACGAGGUCCUAGGUUCAAUCCCCAGCACCUCCA
Transfer RNA from Camelus ferus (Wild Bactrian camel), 72 nucleotides. It matches the Rfam family "tRNA". Rfam says of the family: Transfer RNA (tRNA) molecules are approximately 80 nucleotides in length. Lineage: Eukaryota; Metazoa; Chordata; Mammalia; Artiodactyla; Camelidae. The record is from Rfam.